Molecule: non-coding RNA, 147 nt
Organism: Arachis ipaensis
Lineage: Eukaryota; Viridiplantae; Streptophyta; Magnoliopsida; Fabales; Fabaceae
Source: RefSeq, a predicted model, not a curated record
UGAGAAAGCUCUGCCAUUGACCCACCGGAGCUUUUGGCCGCUACCGGAGCUGUUGCCGGGUCGGUCCGGAAUCGCAGCUGCUUCAUUUUGUUGUUUCCGUGAGUAAUUAUGUUUUGAAAUCCUGCGUUAGUGUCACGUACGUGUGUU